This 497-nucleotide ribosomal RNA is filed under the name uncultured bacterium. RNAcentral's name for it is "partial 16S ribosomal RNA". It matches the Rfam family "Bacterial small subunit ribosomal RNA", at positions 28 to 507 of the family's 1533-position model. The record is from RNAcentral.
GACGAACGCUGGCGGCGUGCCUAAUACAUGCAAGUUGAGCGCUGAAGGUUGGUACUUGUACCAACUGGAUGAGCAGCGAACGGGUGAGUAACGCGUGGGGAAUCUGCCUUUGAGCGGGGGACAACAUUUGGAAACGAAUGCUAAUACCGCAUAAAAACUUUAAACACAAGUUUUAAGUUUGAAAGAUGCAAUUGCAUCACUCAAAGAUGAUCCCGCGUUGUAUUAGCUAGUUGGUGAGGUAAAGGCUCACCAAGGCGAUGAUACAUAGCCGACCUGAGAGGGUGAUCGGCCACAUUGGGACUGAGACACGGCCCAAACUCCUACGGGAGGCAGCAGUAGGGAAUCUUCGGCAAUGGACGAAAGUCUGACCGAGCAACGCCGCGUGAGUGAAGAAGGUUUUCGGAUCGUAAAACUCUGUUGGUAGAGAAGAACGUUGGUGAGAGUGGAAAGCUCAUCAAGUGACGGUAAUUACCCAGAAAGAGACGGCUAACUACGUG